Molecule: unclassified non-coding RNA, 335 nt
Filed under: fungal sp.
Lineage: Eukaryota; Fungi
Description: partial internal transcribed spacer region
Rfam family: Eukaryotic small subunit ribosomal RNA (bases 1-46)
Source: RNAcentral
AAGUCGUAACAAGGUUUCCGUAGGUGAACCUGCGGAAGGAUCAUUAACACUUUUCAUCCCUAAUUCCUGGCCAUUAAGUGUGCUGCGCCUUCACGGGUUUGCGCUUGCUCUUUGGUUUAGGUACCAACCCCUUUGUGUGCACUUGUUGAGAGGAAAAACGGAUGAAUGUAGAGUUUCGACUCUACUUAGUCUUACCUUUUUCUCUUGUUUUUUCUUAUUUUUACCAAUUUUUUACCCCUUUUCUAAUGCUAUAGACUGAAAUAAUAACCUUUUUGGAAGGGUUUAAAACAUCCAAAAGAGUAAUACAACUCUUAGCAACGGAUAUCUAGGCUCUC